UAUCCGUAGGUGAACCUGCGGAAGGAUCAUUAAAGAGUAAGGGUCUUCGGGCCCGAUCUCCAACCCUUUGUUUAACUACCAUGUUGCUUUGGCGGGCCCGUCUCACGACCGCCGGAAGUUUGGCUUCGACCAAACUUCUGGCCCGUGCCCGUCAGUGGCCCCUUCAAAUUCUUGAUCAAGUAUGAUGUCUUAGUUAAAAACUUAAUAGUUAAAACUUUCAACAACGGAUCUCUUGGUUCUG
Molecule: unclassified non-coding RNA, 241 nt
Filed under: plant metagenome
Description: partial contains small subunit ribosomal RNA, internal transcribed spacer 1, and 5.8S ribosomal RNA
Source: RNAcentral